Molecule: ribosomal RNA, 1310 nt
Filed under: metagenome
Description: bacterial SSU rRNA
Rfam family: Bacterial small subunit ribosomal RNA
Source: RNAcentral
AGCGAUUACUUUUAACUUUGAGGCUUCGGCGGAUUGGUUAUUAGUGAUAGCGGCGAACGGGUGAGUAAUGUAUGGGUAACAUUCCUUGAAGUCAGGGAUAGCUCGUCGAAAGACGGGAUAAUACUUGAUAGUCUGGUUUGCCGAGAGGUUUUUCCAGUAAAGAAUUUCGCUUCAAGAUUGGCUCAUAUUCCAUCAGCUAGUUGGUAGUGUAAUGGACUACCAAGGCUAAGACGGAUAGCUGGUGUGAGAGCACGGUCAGCCACAGUGGAACUGAGACACGGUCCACACUCCUACGGGAGGCAGCAAUUAGGAAUCUUACACAAUGGGGGCAACCCUGAUGUAGCGACGCCGCGUGGAGGAAGAAGGUUCUCGGAUCGUAAACUCCUUUUAUAUGGGACGAAUAAAUGACGGUACCAUACGAAUAAGUGACUGCUAACUACGUGCCAGAAGCAUCGGUGAUGCGUAGGUCACGAACGUUAUCCGGAGUUAUUGGGUGUAAAGAGAAGCGUAGGCGUUUCAGUUAGUCUAAUGUCAAAGACCUCGGCUUACCCGAGGGCAGGCACCGGAUACUGCUGAAAUUGAGAUAAGAAGGGGUAGAUGGAAUUCCCGGUGUAGCGGUAAAAUGCGUUGAUAUCGGGAGGAACACCAGAGGCGAAGGCGAUCUACUGGUCUUAUUCUGACGCUAAGGCUCGAAAGCGUGGGGAGCAAAACGGAUUAGAUACCCGUGUAGUCCACGCUGUAAACAAUGGAUGCUGGGUGUCGGUUAUAACUUAGUUUUUUCUUCGGAAAAAGCUUGGAAGUAAUCGGUGCCGAAGCUAACGCGUUAAGCAUCCCACCUGGGGACUACGAUCGCAAGAUUAAAACUCAAAUGGAUUGGCGGGGACUCGCACAAGCAGAGGAGCGCGUGGUUUAAUUCGAUGGCAAUCGAAGAACCUUGCCAGGGCUUGAAAUGUAACUGCUAAGCCUAUGUAAGUAGGAAUCCUUCGAGGGUGUUACACAGGUGCUGCAUGGCCGUCGUCAGCUCGUGUCGUGAGAUGUAGGGUUAAGUCCCGAAACGAGCGCAACCCUUAUCCCAUGUUACAUGUGUCUUGGGAAACUGCCUCGGUAAAACGGGGAGGAAGGCGGGGAUGAGGUCGGUCCGCAUGGCCCUUAUGCCCUGGGCUACACACGCGCUACAAUGGUCGAUACAAUGGGCAGCCAAACCGCAAGGUGGAGCCAAUCCCAUCAAAGUCGAUCUCAGUUCGGAUUGUGGUCUGCAACUCGACCACAUGAAGUUGGAUUUGCUAGUAAUCGUGAAUCAGCCAUGUCAC